AUAUAGCCCUGAUUGCAGUGGAAAUAAAAAAUGUCCCAAUUGUUUUGGGACAUUUUUUAUUGCAACGGAAAGCAGGAAAAUGG
Molecule: small RNA, 83 nt
Filed under: Flavobacterium aquatile LMG 4008 = ATCC 11947
Lineage: Bacteria; Pseudomonadati; Bacteroidota; Flavobacteriia; Flavobacteriales; Flavobacteriaceae
Description: Flavobacterium aquatile LMG 4008 Flavo-1 RNA
Rfam family: Flavo-1 RNA
Source: Rfam by way of RNAcentral